AUACGGAGGGUGCAAGCGUUGUCCGGAUUUAUUGGGCGUAAAGAGCUCGUAGGCGGCUCAGCAAGUCGGCCGUGAAAGCCUGAGGCUCAACCUCAGGACGCCGGUCGAAACUGCUGUGGCUAGGGUUCAGUAGAGGAGAGUGGAAUUCCCGGUGUAGCGGUGAAAUGCGCAGAUAUCGGGAGGAACACCAGUAGCGAAGGCGGCUCUCUGGGCCGACACCGACGCUGAGGAGCGAAAGCUAGGGGAGCAAACAGGAGUAGAAACCCCAGUAGUCC
This 275-nucleotide ribosomal RNA is filed under the name uncultured bacterium. Its description in RNAcentral is "partial 16S ribosomal RNA". It matches the Rfam family "Bacterial small subunit ribosomal RNA", at positions 523 to 796 of the family's 1533-position model. The record is from RNAcentral.